This is an RNA transcript of Amphiprion ocellaris (clown anemonefish), 4183 nucleotides long. It is a transcript of the gene named clarin-3, with no coding region annotated. The transcript has 7 exons. Lineage: Eukaryota; Metazoa; Chordata; Actinopteri; Pomacentridae. The record is from RefSeq and is a predicted model, not a curated record.
AGGUAACUCAUACACAGAAUCUUCAGAGGAGCAUCGAGUCUUCAUCUGUGUCUGAGGCUUCAUCCGAGCUUUAGAGAAGAGAAGCAGGGAUUUAGAUUGAACAGCUGGAAUACAGCGAUAAUGCCGUCCACUAAGAAGACCCUGCAUUUCAUCUCCAGCGCGCUGGUUACAGCCAUUGCCGUGGGGCUGUUGGGAUACGGCAUGUCAGCGCAAUGGGCUGUAAUUAAAAUGGACUGUGCAAGAGGUGGAAGCGACCUUUACAAUGGAAGUGCUGACAUCACGUUGGGACUUUUUAACGGGAUACUAACUAGAACCUCUUGUCCUGUCUUUGGAAAUGUAGAUUCCUUCGAAGUGAUUACUGUACUGAUGAAAACCACUGACACUGUCCCAGCGGUCCUGCAAGGUCUGGUUGUGUGCCUGUUGGCCCUGUGUCUGCUGUUUUCUGUCGGUAGCAUCCUUAUCUCCCUGUACAACAGUGUCAGCAACCCUUAUGAGACCUACAUGGGACCCAGUGGAGUCUACGCCUUCAGCUCACUCAGCGCUUGCGGGGGCCUGGUGGCCGUCAUCAUAUUCGCAUUGAACAUGAUCUUGACCACCAUGGCGGAAACGCUGGUGGAGAACUUCUCCCAAAGUAUCCCGUUAGACUUGAGAAAUAAGAGGACAGUGGCAGAUGUUGGACUCUACCUGCUCAUCCCUUACAUCGUGCUGUCUCUCGGUGCCAUCGGCUGCAUCUACGCCUACCAAAGUGCGGCCUACACACAUAAGCGUGAACAGCAGCGGCCCACGGAGGAUGCGCCCAAGGAUAUCAUGAUGUUUUAGUGUGAUGGAGUCAGUUUUCAGUGACACCCAUAAACUGCUCAUCCAGACUUUCUGAAGAAACUUACUGCAAUGGGACAUGUCAAAUUAUGAGCAAUGCUUGUAUCAUUUCAGCAUUUCAAUCAACUCUGAUAUGAAGGCAAAAUACAGUAAAUUCAUUAGUGCAGAAAUCAGUUUUGGUUUGUAUCUCUUCGACAUGAAAUUACAUUAUUUUUUCUGUGCAUUGAACAAUGCAUUUGAUACAAUAAAAGUUGUUAUGAAAUGCUACUCAGUUCAAAACAUGUCUGACAAAUCAGCAGUUGCAUGGAAAUUCAAGGACUUCAUUCUGUUUUCUGUGUCUGAAAUAGUUACAAUACAGCCAACUUUGAUCUGUUUUCUUGUAAUUUAAUGUCAUAGAUUUAUUGCAGUAAUGCUAUAUUCUUGUAUAAAACAUAUGUAAAUGGUCCGUGUAUAUUUUGGGUCUGUGUAUAUUGUGGCAAUUGGAUUUUCCGUUCUGAAACGUGUAUUGAAAAAAAAAGGAGUGGUUAUUUGAUUUUCGUUUUAGAAUACAAAAAUUAAAAUUGAAAUACAAGGCAUUUUUCCUUUUCAUGAUCAAACAGGGAUAUACACAAUUUUAAAAAUGCUUUGAUUUUCAUUUUAUAUUUAGAAUAACAAAAAAUAAAAUCAGUAAGAGACAGAAAAGAAAAAAGGUUCGUUUUUUUCUUUUUCUGAGCCCGGAAGUGGUCAUCAGGUGUGGAGCCAAACGACAACAAGAUUCUUAGAGGGCGGAGCCAGAGAGCAGUGAUUGGUCAGACUGACUGAGAGCCAGAGAGCAGUGAUUGGUCAGACCAUAGAUGUAUCUAGAAGACAGCGCGCUAGCGCAUCUAGUCUGCUAUAUAUAUCUAUGAUUGGAAUGUCUGGUAGCAUCUCUGGCUGCUGUUGACCUUGUUUUUGGAGUAAAACACGGUGGAAGCUGAAUUAGUGAGGAUGACUCCUGCUCCUGUCAUCUCUAAGCUCCUCACACAUCUUUACCUGCACAUGAGGAAAAUCACUCCUGUAGAAUGCAGUAGUUCAUCAGAACCUCUGGGGAUCCUGUGGAUUCUGUGGAUCCUGUGGGUUGCAGGGUGGGUCCUACCUAGACCAGGCUGAUCCUGGACCAUCCCACAGAUGCUCCAUCAGAUGUGGAUGUGGGGAGUGUGGAACCCAGAUGUUCAGAGGGAGAUGAUGCCACAUCUGGUCCAGCUGAUGGAAGGUCUUGAAGUUCUCUGACUGGCCUGGACUGAAGAUGGUCGUCUCACUGGAUUUAAGGUUCAGAUGCUCAGUAACAAACUCCACCAAUUAGCCAACAGGGAAGUUUUAGGUUCAUUAAAUGUUGCUAUGAAGGUUUCACUGUUUUUCUUUGUGAAUGCAAUGAGCUCCAACUGAAACUUGAAUUAGAACUUAGAAGUAAAUCCUUCCAUCUGAAAGGAUUUAGUUGCAUUAAUAACCUCAUAACAUUCUAAUUCUUAUUCCAGUCUUGGUUGGAAAUAGAAUCUCUGUAUUGAUUCAGGUAAAAACUGAACUUCACAGCAUGUUGGAGCAAAACAACCAGAUGAAAACUGUGAUGGUGUUGGAUUGUCAGACUGUAAUGUUGCAGCUCAAAGCAGCUUUUCCAUCUCAGUUCAUUCUGACAUUCAGCUAUGAAUCAACACAGCAGAUGGUGAUCCAUGCUGUGGAAGUCUCACAUCUCCUGAUUUAAUGGAGCUGCUUUGCACUUUUUACACAGUUUAUUCACCAACACUUUAUUUAAUAAAAGUCCCAUCUAGUUUUUAUGAGGAAUGUGAUGUUUUAAUUUCUCUGUGAAUAACUGCAGUCUAAUGGAACAGCUGGAGUUGUAACAUCUGUCCUGAUAUUGAUCAUGAAGUAUUGAUCAGAAUACUUAUGGUCAGCAGUCAUCCCUGAAGUUUUACAUUAAAAUCUUUACUUGUGUUGUGAACUUUGGUAAGAAGCAGAAACUUUAGCGUUGCCAUGGAUACAUGAGUGUUAAAUUCUGUCCAUGUUUCCAUUUUGGGAAAUUCAGUCCAGCAGAUGAGUUUGUUUUUACUGCCAGCUACCAUUCAGUCUGAGAUAUUAAGAAUAAAUAAAUAAAUAAAUGUGCAUAAUGUGGAAAUGAACAGAUUUUAUUUUUAUUUAUUCCUACAGCAUGUAAAGUUCCAGAAUGUGGAGGAAUUUAGUCUCACAAUCACAGACAAUAAAUAUUAUCUGAAAGUCGGGUUAUUAUUGUUUAUCAGCACAAUACAAAAAGAUUCAUGUUAGAAAUAUUCCAGUUAAGACUCUUAAAUAUCAUGAUUUAUGUAAAUUUACCUCAAUAAUAUGAAUGUUCAGGUUAAGAUUGUGCAGUGAUAUUUAUUAUGUAAGUUUAGCUGAUUAAAGUUUAUGACUCUGCACUACAAUAUUUAUUAUUUAAAUUUACAUCAUUAUUAUAAUAUUUAGGCUCAGACCCUACAGUAUUGAGAUUAAGAAAUCAAAUAUUCUAUAAAAUGUAAAUACACUGAACUCAUUUGGAUAUAUUUAAGUGAGACUCUACAAUAUUAUUUGACACAAAUCUAUCUAAAUCAAAAUUUUAAUCAUUUUUACUCCAAACAUUUACUGGACUAAUUUAAAUAUUAAAAUCACUCCUUUCUAAUCCUCUGCUGUACUUUCAAACCUGAGGCCUUAAACAGAAACACACAAGUAUCUGAUUGAAGGAACUUCUGCAGAGUCCUGGUUCCAGAACAUGAUGAUAGAAUUAUAGACAAACUUUAACAAAAGCUGCUUGAGAGUUUACAGGUUUUUAUCUUAGAUUUCUUCAGUAAUUUAAUGAGAGUUAUCAGCAAAAAUCAGGUGUUCAUUUGAUGAACUUCAUUUCCUAAAACAUCCAGAAUUGGAGCGCAUAUCUUUGGCAGCUGUAAAGUUUCUGCUCCUUCAAAGUUCACAACACAAUGAAUGAAUUCCUAAAACACUCUCAAUGCUGGAGAGCGUUUGUGAUGCUGAAGCAGUGACCAGUUUUUCUGUUUCUUUUCUGGAGAUGCACAAUGAGGGACGUCUGCAGCGACUGAGAAAGAGUCUCACCACAUCCUGACAUGAGGAAAAAGACUUUAUUGAAGACUACAAUGAGAAAAACUAUCAGACAGCAGACGGCUGCAUUCAAGUCUGUAGCUGCUGAAUUCAUGGAUGAAUCAUCUGGCACUAGAGAGGAAGACCAUCAAACAUCCACGUCAGCUGAUGGAGGUCCAAGAGUCUCACCCAACAAACAACCUACAGAGUGAAGACCUCCAAUCUGAUUGGACGGCCUCCUAUUCAGCCACAUGUGUGAACAAAUGCCUCUAAGCUGAUUUGUUUUCUAAAAUAAAUCUAGUUUGAGUCCUAA